RNAcentral lists this ribosomal RNA (307 nucleotides) under Aphytis nr. africanus JWK-1. RNAcentral describes it as "eukaryotic LSU rRNA". It matches the Rfam family "Eukaryotic large subunit ribosomal RNA", at positions 666 to 936 of the family's 3401-position model. The record is from RNAcentral. Lineage: Eukaryota; Metazoa; Arthropoda; Insecta; Hymenoptera; Aphelinidae.
CCAAGGAGUCUAACAUGUACGCGAGUCAUUGGGAAUUUUUCAAAUCCUAAAGGCGUAAUGAAAGUGAAGAUUGUCCUUAGCGUCGAUCUAGGGAGGAUGGCCGGCUUUAUGAAGCCGGCUCGCACUCCUGGGGCAUCUCAUGCUCUAUUACGAGCAGAGGUGCACCUAGAGCGUACACGUUGGGACCCGAAAGAUGGUGAACUAUGCCUGGUCAGGACGAAGUCAGGGGAAACCCUGAUGGAGGUCCGUAGCGAUUCUGACGUGCAAAUCGAUCGUCGGAACUGGGUAUAGGGGCGAAAGACUAAUC